Molecule: ribosomal RNA, 597 nt
Filed under: uncultured Pseudomonadaceae bacterium
Lineage: Bacteria; Pseudomonadati; Pseudomonadota; Gammaproteobacteria; Pseudomonadales; Pseudomonadaceae
Description: SSU rRNA
Rfam family: Bacterial small subunit ribosomal RNA
Source: RNAcentral
GGAUAACGUCCGGAAACGGGCGCUAAUACCGCAUACGUCCUGAGGGAGAAAGUGGGGGAUCUUCGGACCUCACGCUAUCAGAUGAGCCUAGGUCGGAUUAGCUAGUUGGUGGGGUAAAGGCCUACCAAGGCGACGAUCCGUAACUGGUCUGAGAGGAUGAUCAGUCACACUGGAACUGAGACACGGUCCAGACUCCUACGGGAGGCAGCAGUGGGGAAUAUUGGACAAUGGGCGAAAGCCUGAUCCAGCCAUGCCGCGUGUGUGAAGAAGGUCUUCGGAUUGUAAAGCACUUUAAGUUGGGAGGAAGGGCAGUAAGUUAAUACCUUGCUGUUUUGACGUUACCAACAGAAUAAGCACCGGCUAACUUCGUGCCAGCAGCCGCGGUAAUACGAAGGGUGCAAGCGUUAAUCGGAAUUACUGGGCGUAAAGCGCGCGUAGGUGGUUCAGCAAGUUGGAUGUGAAAUCCCCGGGCUCAACCUGGGAACUGCAUCCAAAACUACUGAGCUAGAGUACGGUAGAGGGUGGUGGAAUUUCCUGUGUAGCGGUGAAAUGCGUAGAUAUAGGAAGGAACACCAGUGGCGAAGGCGACCACCUGGA